Molecule: long non-coding RNA, 219 nt
Filed under: Arabidopsis lyrata
Lineage: Eukaryota; Viridiplantae; Streptophyta; Magnoliopsida; Brassicales; Brassicaceae
Description: long non-coding RNA (ALYR_LNC003336)
Source: RNAcentral
UGUUAGGAGUGAUUUAGCGAUCUUGAUCCGGUGUAAUCUCUUAUCACACCGGGCAGCAUGUGAAGGAAGAGAAGUCACAUUCUAUGAAGAACAAGAAGCCCGUGCGCUUGAAAAGGUAAUAUAUUGGGUUCCACCAAGCGAAUUAGAAGGUACAUGCGUUUCAACCCUUGAAAUUCAUGAUGUUGAGGAUAUUCAGUUGUCAUGCAUUGAAGAUGUGAC